GCUUAACACAUGCAAGUCGAGGGGAAACGAUAUUGGAAGCUUGCUUCCGAUAGGCGUCGACCGGCGCACGGGUGAGUAACGCGUAUCCAACCUGCCCACCACUUGGGGAUAACCUUGCGAAAGUAAGACUAAUACCCAAUGACGUCUCUAGAGGACAUCUGAAAGAGAUUAAAGAUUUAUCGGUGAUGGAUGGGGAUGCGUCUGAUUAGCUUGUUGGCGGGGUAACGGCCCACCAAGGCUACGAUCAGUAGGGGUUCUGAGAGGAAGGUCCCCCACAUUGGAACUGAGACACGGUCCAAACUCCUACGGGAGGCAGCAGUGAGGAAUAUUGGUCAAUGGACGAGAGUCUGAACCAGCCAAGUAGCGUGCAGGAUGACGGCCCUAUGGGUUGUAAACUGCUUUUAUAAGGGAAUAAAGUGAGUCUCGUGAGGCUUUUUGCAUGUACCUUAUGAAUAAGGACCGGCUAAUUCCGUGCCAGCAGCCGCGGUAAUACGGAAGGUCCGGGCGUUAUCCGGAUUUAUUGGGUUUAAAGGGAGCGUAGGCCGGAGAUUAAGCGUGUUGUGAAAUGUAGAUGCUCAACAUCUGCACUGCAGCGCGAACUGGUUUCCUUGAGUACGCACAAAGUGGGCGGAAUUCGUGGUGUAGCGGUGAAAUGCUUAGAUAUCACGAAGAACUCCGAUUGCGAAGGCAGCUCACUGGAGCGCAACUGACGCUGAAGCUCGAAAGUGCGGGUAUCGAACAGGAUUAGAUACCCUGGUAGUCCGCACGGUAAACGAUGGAUGCCCGCUGUUGGUCUGAAUAGGUCAGCGGCCAAG
Molecule: ribosomal RNA, 815 nt
Filed under: uncultured bacterium
Lineage: Bacteria
Description: bacterial SSU rRNA
Rfam family: Bacterial small subunit ribosomal RNA
Source: RNAcentral